Molecule: ribosomal RNA, 250 nt
Filed under: uncultured bacterium
Lineage: Bacteria
Description: partial 16S ribosomal RNA
Rfam family: Bacterial small subunit ribosomal RNA
Source: RNAcentral
UACGGAGGGUGCAAGCGUUAUCCGGAUUUAUUGGGUUUAAAGGGUCCGUAGGUGGAAUUGUAAGUCAGUGGUGAAAUCUUUCGGCUUAACCGGAAAACUGCCAUUGAUACUGCAGUUCUUGAGUAUGCUCGAGGUAGGCGGAAUAUGUCAUGUAGCGGUGAAAUGCAUAGAUAUGACAUAGAACACCGAUAGCGAAGGCAGCUUACCAGAUCAUAACUGACACUGAUGGACGAAAGCGUGGGGAGCGAAC